This 413-nucleotide long non-coding RNA is filed under the name Pan troglodytes (chimpanzee). Its description in RNAcentral is "long non-coding RNA NONPTRT001086". Lineage: Eukaryota; Metazoa; Chordata; Mammalia; Primates; Hominidae. The record is from RNAcentral.
UUCUCACCCAGCCAUUUACUAGCUGUGUGAUCUUGGGAAGGUUUCUUGAUCCGUGAGCCUCAGUUACAUUAUCUAUAAAAUGAAGAUGAUAUUAUUCUCUACAUCACCUGUCUAUUGUGAAAAAUAAGCUUAGAUUAGACACUGAACCACAGCAGGGACAAUUGAGAAAGUUGUGUAAUUAUGGAAUGAAGCAUUCUACAUGUUUUUCAUUUGACCUACAGCACUACAGUGGUCCUGGGACUGUUGAAUUCACUCAAGUAAGAUACAUACAUCCUUGGGCUGAUGAAAACAUCUAUCAGUUUCUCUUUCCUGUUAUUCUGGGUCCCAGAUCACAGGAGAAUACUGUGUCUCAGCGGACAUGCUCAGAGAGACGAGGCCUCACUAUGUUGCCCCGGCUAGUUUCAAGACUUCUG